AUCCUUUUGUAGUUGACGAGUAUAAUAAUGGGAAUUUCACAUGUAUGUGUGAGAUGUACCUCCCUCCAAACUUGUUACCACAUCUGCACAUUACCUGCCUGAUG
Small nucleolar RNA from Callithrix jacchus (white-tufted-ear marmoset), 104 nucleotides. NCBI's taxonomy places the organism in Eukaryota, Metazoa, Chordata, Mammalia, Primates, Cebidae. The record is from Ensembl.